AACACACACGUCCACCUCUAAAACACAGGACACAGUGAUUGUGCAGCCUUUACAUGUGCGUUGAGCAGAACUCAGGUAUAACUCACUUAUUGUCUGAGAAUAAACACACACUCACAGCUCUUAAACACAGGACUGUGGGGCAGCCUUUACAAGAGAGCAGACCUCAGGUCUCACUCACUGGGUAACAAGAAAGGCCAGCCAAAAUUCCCAACCAUCCCCUGAGGCCAUGGAGAAGUCCAACUCAGAUUCAUCUGAGCUGUUGUCUCCCGACUCCUCCGACUCCACCAACUCCUCCGACUCCUCCUCAGAUGGUGGGAAGAGGAAGAACUUAGAAGUCAAAGAAACAGACAAAGAAGCAGAAGGGAAAGAAGCGGAAGGGAAAGAAAGGAAGCAAAACGGGCACACAGCGAUAUGUUUAAAGAGCACGCGGCCCAGAUGAAGUCCUUGGCAGGUACCGCAGAGUGUCGAGUGUCUUCAAAAAGAAGAAAUCCAUGACUACGGCCUGUGAUGAAGUGGGAGAGGAUCGCAACCAGGGCUCCAGACUAACUUUUUCACAGGUAACACUGGUGCCACCUAGCUUUUCAUUUAGUAGCACCAAAACAAAUAAGGUAGCACCAUUUUUUUUUUUGUGAACGGGAGUUCCUCUUUAGCGAUGUUGUAGGCGGUGUUAAACUUGAUGAUUAUUUCUUCAUUCUCCGCCGAGCGAUUGGUCUCAUCUAUCCUAUUAAAUGAGGUGGGGAGGGGCUGGGAGCUUUGUGUGAUGCAGCGGUCCCUGCACGUCUUGUGCUUUUGGCUUUCGUUGUGUAAUUUCAAUGACUGAACUUAGAAUUGUGUAGAUCCAUUUACAAAAUGUGUCCUGCCUGCAACGGACGGGCCACAUGUCCUGCAGUACACACACACCAUGGCUUGUCCCCCAUAUCGUAACCACGGGAACUGCACCAGCCAUUAUUGUUGAA
Molecule: long non-coding RNA, 956 nt
Organism: Gadus macrocephalus (Pacific cod)
Lineage: Eukaryota; Metazoa; Chordata; Actinopteri; Gadiformes; Gadidae
Exons: 3
Source: RefSeq, a predicted model, not a curated record